UUGCAGGGCAUAGCCCUGAGCUAUUAUGUCCAGGACUCGACAGUCCGAUAUAACCCUCAACCAGGCUGAGUGCUAAGGAAAAAGGCAGUUGAGAAAAGGUGGCAGAUCCGGGGAAUUGGCUGGGGCAUCACUCUUGACCCCUCCAUCAAUACGAGCGCUUCUGCCCCGUCAAAUGUUUAGCCUGGUGAGGCUGCGUGGGCAAGCAGGAGGCAGAAGGGCGGUGACGACCAAAGCUGGUGUCCAUAUCCUUCUCCUGGCAGGUCUGGAACCAGGUCAGGCAGACCUUGGCAGUGGAGGCAGCCAGAAUGUCUUACGCAUUGAUUGCGGCGUGUGGCUGCCCAGGGAAUAGAGGGUGAUUAACAAGCAGUACCUAGCUAGGAGGAAGAUGCUAGGAAGAUGACAGAACUGUGGAGCAGAGAACAGCCAUGCCAAAUGAGGCAUCUGUCACAGAAUCUUGCACCAAGGCGUAAUGGGAAGAAAUGCGAUGUACUGAACUCCAUGUGGCCGCCCUACAUAUAUCCAAAGUAUAUUCCAAGAGAUGAGAAAACAAUUGAGGCUCCGAUUCAGACCAUGUGGCUGUAAGAAGGAACUGCGGGCACAGGCAGUCCGCCCUGCCCUUUAUCACUUCAGAUGAAAUCAAGGGUGCAUGCGCAGACCCAGAGUGCAUUCACAGACCAAUGCAUGCUGCUACUACCAAAAUCUCCAGAUGCAUGGCACAUGCAUAUUACCCUCCACAGAAUAAAAUAGGGAUCAUCAUUUGAAGAAAUAAAUAUUAUAAAGGAGGAAGCUGAAAGAGUAUUAAUGCAUCCAAUUCCUCCCAUGGAGCUCCUGGGUGUUUCUUUUUGUCCAAUGGAAAAAAAAUAACGUGCCUACAGUGGUGGCUGUGUGGAGGGUCUGGACUAUCCUAGCUAAGAGGUACCAAUUUCAUCAUCACCACAAAGUACCUAUCAAGUGUAACCCAAACUUGCAACUAUAAUUACAAAGAACUAGCUGAGCAAGGGCAUGAAACAGAUUUCCCAAUUAGUCAAGGAUAAAGGCUCUUCUCUCUUUUCUAAACACUAAAGAAACCAUAUGACCUGCCACCCUCAGUAGAGUGGCCGUCCUUACAACUAACACACUUGCUAAUGUAUCAGUUUGGUCUGGAUGCCCUAGGACUGUCACAGGCCCCAGACCUACUAGGGACCUUGGAAUGCUUCAUAAUUUCCCCAAGCCUACGUUCACUAUGUAUGCUUUACUAUCAAAGAAAAUAUCCAGUGGUCUGGAGUGCUUUGUGAAAGCAUAGGAAGGGGAGAUAUCACAGCCCCUAAAAGAAUCCCAGCGGCAGACUAUACAUGUUUAAAAUGCUUCUGUGGAUCUCAGGCUACACUCAAUACAGCAAAGAAGAUUCUAUUCAAAAUAUACUCGAUGACACAAAGGUUGAGCAAGAUAGGGACUUGCCCUCUGAUGUUUGCUGGCACUGUAAUGAAGAAAAAGGAACUCUGAUACCUAUGCUAUGGGACUGUCCAACUGUCAGGCAGCCGUGGAAAGAGGUGGGCACAAGAGUGAAAAUAGUGCUUGGUUUCAGCAACCAAAUCUUAGCUGAAAGUUAUAUCAUAGGUUCUGUACCUACUACACUGGGAGUUAUUCCAUCACAAAAACUUGGGUUCUUAAGGACUGUUAUGACUACCAACUGCAUGAUUUUACAAAAAUGGAGAAGUAGGGUUAUACCCAGAAUACAGCAAUGCCAUUUGGACCUGUAUGAGUUGGCAGUGAAAAAAAUAAGCGCUUAUAGACAUGGAGAGCAAUUAUAUGAAUUUGAAGACAUCUGGACUCCAUUUCUUGAUACAUUUGGAUAAAGAAUGCUGAGAUAGAUCAGGUGGAAUGAAAGUCUGGCAUUCUGUGAGCUAUCAGCUUUUUCCCUUUCUUCUUCCCCAUCUCCACCUUCCCUUUUUUGACUAUUUGUUUAUGUCUCUUUUUUUUAUUGUUAAUAUUAUGUUUGUCUGAUUUAUCAUGCCAUUCAGUCAUAUCUACAUGGCUGAAUGGCAUGAUAAACAUAUGGCAAUUUUGCUAGUGAAUUAAAACUAGCUGUAACCAAUAGACAUAAUACCUAAUUAAGUUCCAACUACACAGAGGAAUAGCUAAUGAUUAGAGCCCUAAAAAAAUUCAUGGUCCAUUUUGGUCAAUUUCAUAAUCAUAGGAUUUUUUAAAUUUCAUAAUUAUGAUUUCAGCUAUUUCAAUCUGAAAUUUCACGG
Molecule: long non-coding RNA, 2231 nt
Organism: Mauremys reevesii (Reeves's turtle)
Lineage: Eukaryota; Metazoa; Chordata; Testudines; Geoemydidae
Exons: 4
Source: RefSeq, a predicted model, not a curated record